This 495-nucleotide ribosomal RNA is filed under the name uncultured bacterium. RNAcentral's name for it is "partial 16S ribosomal RNA". It matches the Rfam family "Bacterial small subunit ribosomal RNA", at positions 28 to 507 of the family's 1533-position model. The record is from RNAcentral.
GAUGAACGCUGGCGGCGUGCCUAAUACAUGCAAGUAGAACGCUGAAGGAGGAGCUUGCUCUUCUGGAUGAGUUGCGAACGGGUGAGUAACGCGUAGGUAACCUGCCUGUUAGCGGGGGAUAACUAUUGGAAACGAUAGCUAAUACCGCAUGACAACUGUUAUUGCAUGAUAACUGUUUGAAAGAGGCAACUGCUCCACUACUAGAUGGCCCUGCGUUGUAUUAGCUAGUUGGUGAGGUAACGGCUCACCAAGGCGACGAUACAUAGCCGACCCGAGAGGGGGGGCGGCCAAACUGGGACGGGGACACGGCCCAGACCCCUACGGGAGGGAGCAGUAGGGGAACCUUGGGAAUGGAGGGAAGGCUGAACGGGGAACGCCGGGUGAGUGAAGGAGGUUGUCGGGUCGGGAAGAUCUGUUGUAAGAGAAGGACGAGAGGGGGAGUGGAAAGUGCACACUGUGACGGUACCUGAACAGAAAGCGACGGCUAACUACGUG